This 427-nucleotide ribosomal RNA is filed under the name uncultured bacterium. RNAcentral describes it as "bacterial SSU rRNA". It matches the Rfam family "Bacterial small subunit ribosomal RNA", at positions 28 to 457 of the family's 1533-position model. The record is from RNAcentral.
GACGAACGCUGGCGGCGUGCUUAACACAUGCAAGUCGAGCGGUAAGGCUCCUUCGGGAGUACACGAGCGGCGAACGGGUGAGUAACACGUGAGCAAUCUGCCCUUCACACAGGGAUAACUCCGGGAAACCGAAGCUAAUACCUGAUACGACCACUUCAGGCAUCUGAUGGUGGUGGAAAGUUCCGGCGGUGAAGGAUGAGCUCGCGGCCUAUCAGCUUGNGGUGGGGUAAUGGCCCACCAAGGCAACGACGGGUAGCCGGCCUGAGAGGAUGGCCAGCCACAUUGGGACUGAGACACAGCCCAGACUCCUACGGGAGGCAGCAGUGGGGAAUAUUGCGCAAUGGACGAAAGUCUGACGCAGCGACGCCGCGUGUGGGAUGACGGUCUUCGGAUUGUAAACCACUGUCGGGAGGGACGAAUACGCCGC